Molecule: transfer RNA, 80 nt
Filed under: Felis catus (domestic cat)
Lineage: Eukaryota; Metazoa; Chordata; Mammalia; Carnivora; Felidae
Source: Rfam by way of RNAcentral
GCCUGGGUGGCUCAGUCGGUUGAGUGUCUGACUUCAGCUCAGAUCAUGAUCUCAAGGUCAAUGAGUUCAAACCCCAGGUC